Molecule: long non-coding RNA, 681 nt
Organism: Megalobrama amblycephala (Wuchang bream)
Lineage: Eukaryota; Metazoa; Chordata; Actinopteri; Cypriniformes; Xenocyprididae
Exons: 3
Source: RefSeq, a predicted model, not a curated record
AGAAAGUGCUGGAAGCCGUUUUUUUUUCCUCGCUCGUCGUUUUUUUUUUUGGCUCGCUCUCUCUCGCUGGACCCGUGGGGAGAACGGGAUGCUCGCACGUUUAGAAAGAAGGAAAAAGACGCUAAAAAGAGCCAUUAAAGUCGACAAAACUGAGAGGGAGGUUCAGAGAAGGGGACCGCGGAUGUUGGUGACUGUGAGAAACGAGAGAUUGAGCGAGACACGAGGCCGGCGAUCCGUCUGACGGAGCGGACGACGCGAUCGGAGGUAGCCGAGCUAGCUAGCCACGGCGGGCGCACGCGAGGCGGAGCUGUUGGUUCAUCGCACUGCACCUGAGUAUCCGGACCAGUCUUUUCGACGCUCUCAAUGUUUUGUAAGUGUCAGUUCAGCGCACUCAAUGUUUUGCGAGACCAAAACAGGCCUGCAACGUUGUUUUUUUUUUCUUCGUUCGAAUCGGUACCGUGAGUAAACUGGAACAUGUGAGCAUGGAUGAUCCCGAUGGAGUAACUUGGAGUAAAGUGUCUUGAUCAAGGUGGAGACGCUGCAGAGAUCGAACCAGCAAACCUUCUGCUGACCAGCUCAGUGGUUUAACCACACCACAAAAUCACGCUGAUGGAGAGCACAUGAAUGUUUGCAGCAGACACAGCUGCAGCCAGAUUGUCCUGCACAUGUUCUCCCCACUCU